RNAcentral lists this transfer RNA (68 nucleotides) under Boops boops. Its description in RNAcentral is "tRNA-Ser". Lineage: Eukaryota; Metazoa; Chordata; Actinopteri; Spariformes; Sparidae. The record is from RNAcentral.
AAGAUAGGCUCGCUAGCACCAAAGACUGCUAAUCUUCGCUCCCUUGGUUGAACUCCAAGGCUAACUCA